AGUGAACGCUGGCGGUAGGCCUAACACAUACAAGUCGAACGGCAGCACAGGAGAGCUUGCUCUCUGGGUGGCGAGUGGCGGACGGGUGAGGAAUACAUCGGAAUCUACCCUGUCGUGGGGGAUAACGUAGGGAAACUUACGCUAAUACCGCAUACGAUCUACGGGUGAAAGCAGGGGAUCUUCGGACCUUGCGCGAUUGAAUGAACCGAUGUCGGAUUAGCUAGUUGGCGGGGUAAAGGCCCACCAAGGCGACGAUCCGUAGCUGGUCUGAGAGGAUGAUCAGCCACACUGGGACUGAGACACGGUCCAGACGCCUACGGGAGGCAGCAGUGGGGAAUAUUGGACAAUGGGCGCAAGCCGGAUCCAGCCAUACCGCGUGGGUGAAGAAGGCCUUCGGGUUGUAAAGCCCUUUUGUUGGGAAAGAAAUCCAUCUGGUUAAUACCCGGGUGGGAUGACGGUACCCAAAGAAUAAGCACCGGCUAACUUCGUGCCAGCCGCCGCAGUAA
This 506-nucleotide ribosomal RNA is filed under the name uncultured bacterium. RNAcentral describes it as "partial 16S ribosomal RNA". It matches the Rfam family "Bacterial small subunit ribosomal RNA", at positions 29 to 523 of the family's 1533-position model. The record is from RNAcentral.